CAAUAGCGUAUAUUAAAGUUGUUGCGGUUAAAAAGCUCGUAGUUGGAUUUCUGCCGAGGACGACCGGUCCGCCCUCUGGGUGAGCAUCUGGCUCGGCCUGGGCAUCUUCUUGGAGAACGUAUCUGCACUUGACUGUGUGGUGCGGUAUUCAGGACUUUUACUUUGAGGAAAUUAGAGUGUUUCAAGCAGGCAUACGCCUUGAAUACAUUAGCAUGGAAUAAUAAGAUAGGACCUCGGUUCUAUUGUGUUGGUCUUCGGGACCGGAGUAAUGAUUAAGAGGGACAGUUGGGGGCGAUUCGUAUUUCAUUGUCAGAGGUGAAAUUCUUGGAUUUAUGAAAGACGAACUUCUGCGAAAGCAUUUGCCAAGGAUGUUUUCAUUAAUCAAGAACGAAAGUUGGGGGCGUCGAAGACGAUCAGAUACCAU
Molecule: ribosomal RNA, 424 nt
Filed under: uncultured eukaryote
Lineage: Eukaryota
Description: bacterial SSU rRNA
Rfam family: Eukaryotic small subunit ribosomal RNA
Source: RNAcentral